Molecule: long non-coding RNA, 188 nt
Organism: Actinia tenebrosa (Australian red waratah sea anemone)
Lineage: Eukaryota; Metazoa; Cnidaria; Anthozoa; Actiniaria; Actiniidae
Source: RefSeq, a predicted model, not a curated record
AAUCCCUUCAAAAAACUUGUGUUUACUGGAAUGACAUCCUUGAUAUACAUAGACGCUUCACAAACCCCUUAUCUAACAAUCGAUGCAAGUACAUUUAUAAACACCUCGCAGCUGACUGAAAUCAACUUCAUACAGUCUGGUUUCACUGAUAUACCUAACAACACCUUCUUGCCACUGGGAAAUGUAAG